UUUGCGGCGUUGCUCAGCGUUACCUUGGGCGACUCAGGUUAGUCGUCGCGGGCCUGAACCUGUGUUCCGCUAGGCCGCGUGAAAAGGAGGCCCGAAUGCGAGGAGGGCGUUAAAACACAGGUGCGACCCGGUCUCCAAGCGGCCUCUUGAGAGGGGCCGGGUCCUUGAGCUCGUGCCCUUCGCGGUCGCUGGUGCCCGCGUUGGGCCGGUCCGGGAGGUGAGGUGAGGGCGCGCCUGCGGAGUGUUUUCGGCCACGGUGCCUCCCGGUUCAGACGCCUCAGGUAACGGUUGCGACUCUUUUCCGGGAGGAAGUGAAUUUCCGACGAGCCGGGGACGUUGUCCCGACCCGGUGCCCUGCGGUUCUCCCGACGCUGGCACUCCUGACCCUUGUGGCUCCACACCCAGCAUGGAACCCAGUGCAAGGCUUGAAUUCCCGACCCAAGAUGAAGACCUGACCUGAGAUCAAGCAUCAGAUGCUUAACCAGCUGAGCUACCCAAGUGCCUCUGUGUUUAUUAUUCCUUUCCUACCUCAACUCAAAUGCAUAGACCAUUUUUCAGACUUUAUUCUGUUAUGUAAGCAUUUGAAGCUUUGGCUAGUUUGUAGUUUGACAUUAUUUCAAAAUGUGUUUGUAUAUUUCCACCAUAUGUUGUAUUUUUAAUGUUUUUGUUAUUGAUUGUGACCAAGCUUCAUGGUCUUUACAGAAUUAUAUUAAUCUUUUGACACGUUUGAGAUAUGCUUUCUGUCCCUGUGUGUGGUCAGUUUGCAGAAGUGUUUCAUGCAAGCUUGAAAAGAAUGUUUGCAGCCAGCAGUGCCCUCUGUCUCUGGGUCCAGCUCAUUAAUUGUUUUGCUCAAGCCUUUGUGGUUAUUGAAUGUUCCUCUAUUCUGUUCCAGAGAGAGGUGUAUCAGAAAUGUUCUACUCUGAGGGUAGCUUUUAUAAUUCUCUUUUUAUAUUGUCUAUUUUGGUUUUCUAUUUUUUUGAAAGCUGUGUUAUAUUAGCUGCAUAUCAUUUUGGAAUUGCUGUUGCUUUUUGGUAAAUUAAUUUAAAUAUUGUAAGUAACCCUUUAUCUCUCUAAAUGCCCAUUUCAUUAAAAUCUUUUGUCAGAUUUUUAUGUAUCUUUAUCAUAUUGUUUCUCCUGUAUUUCUCAACCUGAUUUCUUAAGCAUUUUAGAUGACUUUUUAAAAACCUGUAGCUGUCAUUUAAAAACUCUGGAUUCUAAAUAAAGUUCUCAUUUUGAGAUAAAUUCAGGCA
Enhydra lutris kenyoni (northern sea otter) is the source of this 1250-nucleotide long non-coding RNA. RefSeq lists it as uncharacterized. NCBI's taxonomy places the organism in Eukaryota, Metazoa, Chordata, Mammalia, Carnivora, Mustelidae. The transcript is spliced from 2 exons. The record is from RefSeq and is a predicted model, not a curated record.